This 497-nucleotide ribosomal RNA is filed under the name uncultured bacterium. RNAcentral's name for it is "partial 16S ribosomal RNA". It matches the Rfam family "Bacterial small subunit ribosomal RNA", at positions 28 to 507 of the family's 1533-position model. The record is from RNAcentral.
GAUGAACGCUGGCGGCGUGCCUAAUACAUGCAAGUCGAGCGAACGGACGAGAAGCUUGCUUCUCUGAUGUUAGCGGCGGACGGGUGAGUAACACGUGGAUAACCUACCUAUAAGACUGGGAUAACUUCGGGAAACCGGAGCUAAUACCGGAUAAUAUUUUGAACCGCAUGGUUCAAAAGUGAAAGACGGUCUUGCUGUCACUUAUAGAUGGAUCCGCGCUGCAUUAGCUAGUUGGUAAGGUAACGGCUUACCAAGGCAACGAUGCAUAGCCGACCUGAGAGAGUGAUCGGCCACACUGGAACUGAGACACGGUCCAGACUCCUACGGGAGGCAGCAGUAGGGAAUCUGCCGCAAUGGGGGAAAGCCUUACGGAGCAACGCCGCGUGAGUGAUGAAGGUCUUCGGAUCGUAAAACUCUGUUAUUAGGGAAGAACAUAUGUGUAAGUAACUGUGCACAUCUUGACGGUACCUAAUCAGAAAGCCACGGCUAACUACGUG